Long non-coding RNA from Etheostoma spectabile (orangethroat darter), 71 nucleotides. RefSeq lists it as uncharacterized. Lineage: Eukaryota; Metazoa; Chordata; Actinopteri; Perciformes; Percidae. The transcript has 3 exons. The record is from RefSeq and is a predicted model, not a curated record.
UAGAAUUAUUUUUAUUGGCUUGUUUACAUGAUGUUGGGCGCGCCCACUUCCGUCACACAAUGAACCGGCGC